ACACCUGGGGGGGAGAACAAGACAGCGAUUUACCAUCCUUCUGCGAUCCUGUCCGUCCGCGCAAGUGUUUAUCCACAACAGGUUUCACCGACCGAGUGCACACCGUGAGCUCAGCACGCUGCGUGUACCCGGCAUGUAGCCCUCGCGACGAGCCUGUGACACGGGACCCUGUUGCGGACGAGGAAACAGCGGGGAGCAGGCUGGAGGUCCUGAGCCCCUCUCCGGAGAAGUCACGUCUGAGCUGGGCUCUGAGCUCACCAGGAUGAAGGGGCGCCGUGUUCCUGACAGAGGGCACGGCUGGGCAACGGCCCAGAGGUGGGGGGCAGCACGGUGUGCGUGGGGCUCCACGGGGAGCUUAGAUUCUCUUUUGGGCCUGGCCCAGGAAGCAGGCCCCGAGCCAGGAAGCCACACUCGGCAGCUGGGGCUCAUCCGGGCUGUGAAGCCGUGAGGCCGGAGGACCUGGGUUUGAAUCCUGGCUCAGGCCUUACUGCCUUGUGACUACAGCCAUCACCUGGGCCACGGAGGAGAUCCAAAAGGGAUUGACUGCCCAGCUCCUCGUGGAUGGGAGUGGCGGCCUUAGUUCGAGCGGGUGCCUUCACGGCUCUCGAGCUUCAGUUUCCUCAUCUGCCUAACAGUUACUAUGACCCCAUCUCGAUGGAUCCCCGGCAGCACCACACAAUAAGCCUCGGCCAGGGUCAGUGUGGACAAGAAGCAUCUGGUCUUUGGAGCCACCUGACCUGGUCUGAAAUCUGGCUCGACUUUUACUCACACAUGACCCGAGUUGAUCCACGGGUUUUGAGUCUCAGUGCCCUAAUCUACAAGAUGGCUGGGGCACCCCCUGGCCCUCUGCUCUGUUCUGAAAACAGGAUGACACAGAGAAGUGACUUAGCACCACGCGGGGCACAGGAAGCUACCGUGUGUCAUUCCGUGACAGGUUCUGUUCUGGGAACCGGGCUUGUUAAAAAUCACUCCUGCGGUUCUGGGCCUGGGGUCAUCGUGCUGGCAUCGCGGACAAAACCAUUUCCUGCUCUCCCCUGCCCUCCUGGCAGGGAGAACCACCAUCCAGGGGCCUGAACCGUCUCCGGGAGAGGAGGGCGGCUGAACAGGCAUUCUCACACGCUGCUGGUGGGGGUGGAAAUUGGAACAUCCUCUCGGGAAAGCAGUUUGGCAGGAAGUACCAGAGGUGUGAAAGCUGUUCACCAGCCUUUGUGGGGCUGUUCCAUGAGGACAUAACCCCAAACACGUGUGGGGUUCCCGCACGACGAGCUUGAAAAAGUUGGGGGAAAACCCAAACGGCCAAUGAGAGGGGAUGGUUAAGUGAAUUACGGCCUACCCCCUACACGGAGUUCGCGGACAGAAAUAAAAAGCCAUCGCCGUGGAAACUGGUAAUCUGGACAGUUUUGCAUGGCAUAAUUUUAAAUGAUAUUGUGAUUAUGCAAAUAAAACCUGUUCACUGCAAAGCAUUUAGAGACAA
This is a long non-coding RNA of Herpailurus yagouaroundi (jaguarundi), 1474 nucleotides long. RefSeq lists it as uncharacterized. NCBI's taxonomy places the organism in Eukaryota, Metazoa, Chordata, Mammalia, Carnivora, Felidae. The record is from RefSeq and is a predicted model, not a curated record. The transcript has 2 exons.